This 346-nucleotide unclassified non-coding RNA is filed under the name Hevea brasiliensis (rubber tree). The record is from RNAcentral. Lineage: Eukaryota; Viridiplantae; Streptophyta; Magnoliopsida; Malpighiales; Euphorbiaceae.
AUUAAAAUGCAAAUGCCCACACAAAAACCCCUCCAGAAGUUUGUACAAGAACAUUAGAAGGCAGUUUUGUCCCUUCAUUUAUAUAAGUCAAAAAAGUGGUGAGCAAUAUACUGAUAAAUUUUUUUGCAAAUACUAAGAGCCGCCACCAAAUACAAAUAGAUAUUGGAAGAGAAGAGCUGUAAAGAGAGAAAUACAAUAAGAAUGUUAUAAUAAAAUAAAAAAAAGAUAUUAGUUUCAGCCCUUCCACUAAAAUGGUCAUUUUAAGGAUGUAUUUCCCAUCAUCCUGGCUUCAUUUGCUGUUAAUCGAUAUUUUAAGAACCACAGCAAGCUGAUAAUUUUGAGCUCG